Long non-coding RNA from Cercocebus atys (sooty mangabey), 1705 nucleotides. Lineage: Eukaryota; Metazoa; Chordata; Mammalia; Primates; Cercopithecidae. The record is from Ensembl.
AAAAAAAAACAAGAUUCUUACUGAAAUAUGCUGUAACUCUUAAGAACGAAUGUGGUGUUUUUUUGAACGUUCCUUGCUACUUCAGAGAAAAGCUACUUAGCAUGUUUGUGUCAUGAAAUCUUGAUCACCACCCUAAUUCAGAAGGGAAAAGUUACCAUUUAUCUUGGACAAUAAAGAAUAGUUUUACAUGCCUAGAGCAACAUUUGGUACAUGUAAUGGCACCACCAGAGCUUUCCUUUAGACUUUUUGCUGACCAGCCCAGAGUAAUCGAGUAAGUUUCAUCACUCCUUCUUUUUUAGAAGCUAUGGAGAUAUUUUGCAUAGAAUGAAGGAUCUCUGCAGAUACAUGAACAACUUUGAUAGUGAAGCACAUGCGAAAUAUAAAAACCAAGUGGUGUAUUCUACCAUGCUGGUCUUCUUUAAGAAUGCGUUCCAAUAUGUCAACAGCAUACAGCCGUCUCUCUUCCAAGGUCCUAAUGCCCCGAGCCAAGUUCCACUGGUUCUUCUCGAAGAUGUAUCGAACGUGUAUGGUGAUGUAGAAAUUGACCGUAAUAAACACAUCCAUAAAAAGAGGAAACUAGCUGAAGGAAGAGAAAAAACCAUGAGUUCAGACGAUGAAGACUGUUCGGCGAAAGGAAGAAAUCGUCACAUUGUAGUCAAUAAAGCUGAACUUGCUAACUCCAUUGAAGUGUUAGAAAGCUUUAAAUUGGCCAGGGAGAGCUGGGAGUUGCUCUAUUCCCUAGAAUUCCUUGACAAAGAAUUUACAAGGAUUUGCUUGGCCUGGAAGACGGAUACUUGGCUUUGGUUAAGAAUCUUCCUCACCGAUAUGAUCAUCUAUCAGGUAGCGUAUUACACAUAUUUUAGGUACCUGUGUCUGUACAGGAUGGCUAUGGUGGCAAACCAGCUUUCCCUUGCAGAAUGCGUCAUGUUCCCUCUUGGGCUAGUCUACUGCCUGCUGACACCUGUUCUAUCUUCAGUGGCUGAGGGGGUAUGGUCCAUUUUCCUUUCAAAAUAACUCUGGGCCGGGUGCCGUGGCUCACGCCUGCAAUCCCAGCACUUUGGGAGGUCGAGGUGGGAGGAUUGCUUGAGCCCAGGAGUUCAAGACCAGUCCUGGCAGCAUAGUGAGACCCUGUCUCUACAAAAUAAAAAACUUAGCCAAGUGUGCUGGCAUGUGCCUAUAGUUCCAGCUACUCAGGAGGCUGAGGCGGGAGGAUCACUUGAGCCCAGGAAGUCAAGACUGCAUUGAGCCAUGAUAGCAUCACUGCACUCUGGCCUGGGUGACAGUGAGACCUUAUAUCAAAAACAAAACGAAACAAACACUUCAAAAUGACAAGCCUGUACCUUCUGUGUUACUUUUGGUAUAUCCAAUCACACCUCUCUGUUACUUUUCGGUAAAAGAGGAUUACUUCUCACCCUCCUUCUCUCUCUGCUGGUGGAGUCUGCCUGGCUGUACUGUUCUCCAGCAUCUUAGACCUAGAACCGAGAGAGUCGAUAAUUCACGAAUGAGGUGUUGUUGGAAUGGGCAGGUUGCUGCUUCCAUCCUUCAUAAAGGAGAAGUGGUGCUUGUAGUAAAAUAUUUCUAAAGAAAUGUUAUAUCCAGAAUGUGCUGGGUCAAAGGGCUUGGUUAUUUUCUUUAGUCUUAAGACCUACAGCCACCCCGCCACAAAGAAAAAUCUCCACCUCUUAUAAAGUACCGCGCAUAAAGA